RNAcentral lists this long non-coding RNA (592 nucleotides) under Equus caballus (horse). Its description in RNAcentral is "lncRNA (ENSECAG00000058616.1)". Lineage: Eukaryota; Metazoa; Chordata; Mammalia; Perissodactyla; Equidae. The record is from RNAcentral.
GGUCUUUGGCGCUGGAGCCCGGGCCGCAGCUCUCGAGCCCCCCAGGGCACCGCCCGCCGGGCGGGGGCGGCUCCUGCGCGCACACAGCGGCCCUCGGCGGCUCUCAGGUCGGCCGCAGGCCGUGCCAAGCGCCAAGACCCCAGGCCUCGGGGAGGGCGCCAUUCAGUUCUGCCGCCUCCUCCAGCCCUGCGUAGCCGCCCCGCGUCUGUCGUCAACCGCGGCAGCCGCCCCGACGUCACAGCGCAGGCGCACGCCCGCCGCUUCGUCUGCAGGGGCGGGGGACGCGGCGGUGCUCGACCCUCAGAGCUGCUCGCCGCGCGCGGCCCGGGCUGCCCCGGACCCCGAGAAAUCCUGCAGGCUGAAGCCGCCUGGUGGCCACACGCGCACUGCGGGCACUUGCCUUCCGGAGGGGCGGAGCGGACCGCUGAGCUCUCGGGACAGAGGCCGCCGCCUCGCGAGUCGAUGCGGAACUAGGUCCUCCGGUUACCGUCCAGCGCGGACAGUGGGGCGCGGCCUGCCAGCGGGGGCCGGGCCUCCGGCUGGGGCGGGUCUGCCCCGGGGACACGGCCGAGCCCGCGGGCCGCCGGCGUCG